CCCUAUGGGGCGCACCAGGCAUAGAGGGGCAGCAGCAGAAUAACAGAGAAACAACAGCCCAAAGCGAUGCAAAAAGAAAAGAUAUUAUUUCUCGAUUCCAUUAUUUGCUAACCUCUUUGAUAUGUUCUUUACGCUUUCUGUCAGGCCGUCAGCAGGAUGCAAUUCGGAGAGAGGAGCGACGGCUGACCAGGCCCAGUUUCAAAAAGUCAUCUCUAUGGGCGCAAUACUAUUUCCUGCCACAGAAUCUCCGCCUGCAUAUUCCGAAGGAGAAAGCGCAAAGGAGACAUAACAUACCAGCGAAUACGAAAUAAGAAUACUUGAGGCUGUACACGAUCGGCGUCAACCCGAGCCUGACGGCCGUCUUCAUCCAGUCAUGCUCUGCAAUGACGGCUGCGACAUGUGGUGAGAGCCGAUAAUAAUAAUCGAUCAGGGC
This 433-nucleotide ribosomal RNA is filed under the name uncultured prokaryote. RNAcentral's name for it is "partial 16S ribosomal RNA". The record is from RNAcentral.